UACGUAGGGGCCUAGCGUUGUCCGGAUUUAUUGGGCGUAAAGAGCUCGUAGGCGGUUCGGCAAGUCGGAUGUGAAAUCUCCACGCUUAACGUGGAGGGGCCAUUCGAAACUGCCGUGACUCGAGUCCGGUAGGGGAGUGUGGAAUUCCUGGUGUAGCGGUGAAAUGCGCAGAUAUCAGGAGGAGCACCGAUGGCGAAGGCAGGUCUCUGGGCCACUACUGACGCUGAGGCGCGAAAGCGUGGGGAGCGAACAGG
Molecule: ribosomal RNA, 254 nt
Filed under: uncultured bacterium
Lineage: Bacteria
Description: partial 16S ribosomal RNA
Rfam family: Bacterial small subunit ribosomal RNA
Source: RNAcentral